This is a non-coding RNA of Triticum aestivum (bread wheat), 128 nucleotides long. The record is from Rfam. NCBI's taxonomy places the organism in Eukaryota, Viridiplantae, Streptophyta, Magnoliopsida, Poales, Poaceae.
AUGUUACUCCCUCCAUCCGAAAAAGCUUGUGUCCACCAAAUGGAUGUAUCUAGCACCAAGUUAGUGCUAGAUACAUCCAUUUGAGGGACAAGCUUGGGACAAGCUUUUUCGGACGGAGGGAGUAGAUG